UGAGGAAUAUUGGUCAAUGGGCGCAAGCCUGAACCAGCCAUCCCGCGUGAAGGAUGAAUGUACUAUGUAUUGUAAACUUCUUUUCUGCAAAGAGAAAUUGCCCUACGAGUAGGGUAUUGACGGUAUUGCAGGAAUAAGCAUCGGCUAACUCCGUGCCAGCAGCCGCGGUAAUACGGAGGAUGCGAGCGUUAUCCGGAUUCAUUGGGUUUAAAGGGUGCGUAGGCGGCUUCUUAAGUCAGUGGUGAAAUCCUGCGGCUCAACCGUAGAACUGCCAUUGAUACUGAUAAGCUUGAAUAUAGUUGAGGUAGGCGGAAUGAGUAGUGUAGCGGUGAAAUGCUUAGAUAUUACUCAGAACACCGAUUGCGAAGGCAGCUUACCAAGUUAUAAUUGACGCUGAGGC
RNAcentral lists this ribosomal RNA (400 nucleotides) under uncultured bacterium. Its description in RNAcentral is "bacterial SSU rRNA". It matches the Rfam family "Bacterial small subunit ribosomal RNA", at positions 355 to 752 of the family's 1533-position model. The record is from RNAcentral.